AUUGCUUCUCAGACUUUUGGCUAAGAUCAACUAUAGCAUCUAUUCUUAUCAGUUUAAUAUCUGAUACGUACUCUACCCAAGGACAAUAUAUUAAAUGGAUUUUUGGAGCAGGGAGAUGGAAGAGGGGUUUGCGCCAUUCACUCCAUGCAUCACCGGGUACUGCAGUGCCUCCAGGAAAAGCGUAUACCAA
This 190-nucleotide small nuclear RNA is filed under the name Dasypus novemcinctus (nine-banded armadillo). RNAcentral describes it as "U2 spliceosomal RNA (ENSDNOG00000046360.1)". It matches the Rfam family "U2 spliceosomal RNA". Rfam says of the family: U2 is a small nuclear RNA (snRNA) component of the spliceosome (involved in pre-mRNA splicing). Complementary binding between U2 snRNA (in an area lying towards the 5' end but 3' to hairpin I) and the branchpoint sequence (BPS) of the intron results the bulging out of an unpaired adenosine, on the BPS, which initiates a nucleophilic attack at the intronic 5' splice site, thus starting the first of two transesterification reactions that mediate splicing. The record is from RNAcentral. Lineage: Eukaryota; Metazoa; Chordata; Mammalia; Cingulata; Dasypodidae.